UAGCAGAAAAGGAGGCUGGUAAAAGGCUGC
RNAcentral lists this non-coding RNA (30 nucleotides) under Mus musculus (house mouse). RNAcentral also lists the same sequence under 1 other name. Lineage: Eukaryota; Metazoa; Chordata; Mammalia; Rodentia; Muridae. The record is from RNAcentral.